Oncorhynchus tshawytscha (Chinook salmon) is the source of this 1803-nucleotide long non-coding RNA. Lineage: Eukaryota; Metazoa; Chordata; Actinopteri; Salmoniformes; Salmonidae. The record is from Ensembl.
GUAGCUAGCACUGCAGUGAAUAAAAUGUGGUGAGUAGUUGACUCAAAGAGAGAGAAAGACAGUAGUUGAACAGUUUUGAACAAAAUCAUUUCUUCCAAAAUGAAGGAGAAGCAAGAGAGAAAUAGAGAGAUAUUCUCAUUUUUUUCGCUUUCAGUUUCACUUAAUUAGAUUUAAAAUGCAGAUAGCUAGUUUAGCCUACUUAAACACCCUGCUCAAACAGAGGGAUGUUUUGUUAGCUAGCUGGCUAUGACUUUCAAACACAACACUGGAACCCUUCCAAGUCAAGGGGACCUGAGCCCUAGCACCAUGCCUCAGGACUACCUGGCAUGAUGACUCCUUGCUGUCCCCAGUCCACCUGGCCGUGCUGCUGCUCCAGUUUCAACUGUUCUGCCUACGGCUAUGGAACCCUGACCUGUUCACCGGACAUGCUACCUGUCCCAGACCUGCUGUUUUCAACUCUCUAGAGACAGCAGGAGCGGUUGAAAUACUCUUAAUGAUCGGUUAUGAAAAGCCAACGGACAUUUACUCCUGAUGUGCUGACCUGUUGCACCCUCGACAUCUACUGUGAUUAUUAUUAUUUGACCAUGCUGGUCAUUUAUGAACAUUUGAAUAUCUUGGCCAUGUUCUGUUAUCUCCACCUGGCACAGCCAGAAGAGGACUGACCACCCCUCAUAGCCUGGUUCCUCUCUAGGUUUCUCCCUAGGUUUUGGCCUUUCUAGGGAGUUUUUCCAAGCCACCGUGCUUCUACACCUGCAUUGCUUGCUGUUUGGGGUUUUAUGCUGGGUUUCUGUACAGCACUUUGAGAUAUCAGCUGAUUUAAGAAGGGCUUUAUACAUCAAUUUUAUGAUCCUCAAAACGUUUUACAGCUGCACCAUCGAGAGCAUCCUGACUGGUUGCACCACUGCCUGGUAUGGCAACUGCUCGGCCUCCGACCCCAAGGCACUACAUAGGGUAGUGCGUACAGCCCAGUACACCACUGGGGCCAAGCUUCCUGCCAUCCAGGACCUCUUUACCAGGUGGUGUCAGAGGAAGGCCCUAAGGACUCCAGCCACUCUAGCCAUACUGUUCUCUUUGCUACCUCAUGGCAAGCGGUAGUAGAGUGCCAAGUCUAGGUCCAAAAUGUUUCGUAACAGUUUCUACCCCCACGCCAUAAGACUCCUGAACUACCAAUCAAUACUUUUUCCCAGACUAUUUGCAUUAACCCCCCCCAACCUACAUGUACAUAUUAUCUCAAUUACCUCGACUAAGCUGUGCCCCCCACAUUAACUCUGUACCGGUACCCUCUGUAUAUAGCCUCACUAGUGUUAUUUUAUUGUUGCUCCCUAUUUUCUUAUUUUAAAAAAAACAUUUUAUAAAUUUUUUACCUCUGUUUAUUUUAGUAAAUACUUUAACUUAUUUUUUCUUAACUGCAUUGAUGGUUAAGGGCUUGUAAGUAAGCAUUUCAAUGUAAGUUCUACACCUAUUGUAUUCGGCGCAAUGUGUCAAAUACAUUUAGAUUUGAUUUAAUCCCAUCAGCUCUAGCUAAGUGUUCAUAUGGUGGAGGAGAGCAUCUGAGUGAGAGGGGGAAAUAGGCAGACUUCCUCCGCACAAAGAGCGUGAUAGAAAUCCUGAUGAGAGUGCUGAAAGGGCAGCAGAGUAAAGUAGGAACUAUGGUCACUUUUGUCUUAUUCCUAUUGUGGGUGAGUCAACAGUUGAAGGUUGGGACCAGAGAAACGCAGUGUAUGUUUUGUUUUUUUGUCCAAGGUACACCAAUGUUGCUUUUGCAAAAAAAAUGUUUUUAAAUAAAAGGUGAAACAAACUGAA